RNAcentral lists this ribosomal RNA (291 nucleotides) under uncultured prokaryote. RNAcentral's name for it is "partial 16S ribosomal RNA". It matches the Rfam family "Bacterial small subunit ribosomal RNA", at positions 505 to 796 of the family's 1533-position model. The record is from RNAcentral.
GUGCCAGCCGCCGCGGUAAUACGUAGGUGGCAAGCGUUGUCCGGAAUUAUUGGGCGUAAAGCGCGCGCAGGCGGCCUAUCCAGUCUGUCUUAAAAGUUCGGGGCUCAACCCCGUGAUGGGAUGGAAACUAGUAGGCUAGAGUAUCGGAGAGGAAAGCGGAAUUCCUAGUGUAGCGGUGAAAUGCGUAGAUAUUAGGAAGAACACCAGUGGCGAAGGCGGCUUUCUGGACGAAAACUGACGCUGAGGCGCGAAAGCCAGGGGAGCGAACGGGAUUAGAAACCCCUGUAGUCC